CAGCGUCUCAUAUCGGCUUCCCCAUUCCUACGGAUCGAAGGACAGAAAAGUCAAGAUGAUUGUAAACCAUGGAAACUCAUGGGCAGUUACUGAUGUCGCUAGUCUGAGACUAGUCGAGAAACUCAAGAACUCCUCCUUCCUCAAGAAAACGUGGAAAACCUAUCCUACAGAUCUGGACUUUGGAUUUCUGACUGUACAGCUGUCACCAAACUGCAUCAAUUUCUCCAGCAUUUGGUACUUUCAAGUAUGGUCAUAGAGAGUAGAGUUGGUUAUGGUAUUUAGCAACAUACAAAUAGCAACAAUACAAUAC
Sardina pilchardus (European sardine) is the source of this 310-nucleotide long non-coding RNA. RefSeq lists it as uncharacterized. The transcript has 3 exons. NCBI's taxonomy places the organism in Eukaryota, Metazoa, Chordata, Actinopteri, Clupeiformes, Clupeidae. The record is from RefSeq and is a predicted model, not a curated record.